RNAcentral lists this long non-coding RNA (328 nucleotides) under Brassica napus (rape). RNAcentral describes it as "long non-coding RNA (BNAP_LNC016832)". Lineage: Eukaryota; Viridiplantae; Streptophyta; Magnoliopsida; Brassicales; Brassicaceae. The record is from RNAcentral.
UGAUUUACAUUUUCUCCAAGGUAAAUCAUAGCUUGCUUAGCCUCCAAGUAGUCUUUACUUCAGCUCUAAGUCGGUACCAAUUCCAGUCUUCAAGUCAGCUUCACAGCUUCACUUCAUGUAGCACUUCUUGUACUACUUCAUGUAGUACUUCACGGCUGGUACAUGGACACCUUGAGGAGUUGUUUUUCUUGAGCUUCUAAAACUCAGUCGUCACUGCACUAACAUUAUGUACUCAUAGAUCUUUUUUAGAUUGAGUGUAUAAGUGUUUCUCGUUUAUUUCUUUGUUCCUCAAACUUGUUUUGGUUGAUUAUUUAUCAAUGCAGUCGUU